UUGGAGUACUGAUGGGAGGGGACAAAAGCUACCGGUUCAAAGAAGUGUGACACUUGAGUUUGUGGGCAAUCAGGAAGGACUUGGGGAUAAAGUGACAUUGAGAUAUGGGAGGGACUUGUUUUGGGUAUGUGAAAGGUUCAUUCCUUAGGGAGCUUGUAGAGUUAGCAAGAGCAGGAAGGAACCAUGGCAAGGGCUAUGUGGGGAUGGUGCUGCUGGAGUUCUGUAGGAAGAUAGAGAAGGGCUUCAGGUUUUCCUGGUGGAUGCUGGCAAGCCUCUGCAGGGGGGCAGGUGGACAGCAGGGCCGGGCUGGGCUAGACUGGGAACUGUGUGCAAACUGGGCUGGAGUCGGGAGAGAGAGUGAGACACAGUCAGUAGGUGACUGUCACACUUGGGUGAAGUGUGCAGAGGCAUGUGAACUAGAAGUGCGGUGGGGACAGGAGGAGCACGGCGGGCUGGCUGUCCCUGCUUGACACACAAGGCCCCGCUGACCCAGUGCCUUCUCCCCCUCUUGUUGAGCCUUCUUUCAUCAAGUGUUUACACUCAACAUCCUGCCCAAGCAUUCCUGGGAAGGUCACCCGGUCAUCCUGUUGCCAGUUCCCGUGGUCACCAUACCUCUCAACUCACUGGCUGGCCAACAGAACUCAGAGUCUCCUCUGCCAGUGACGAACGCCUGUAUCCUCCUCAGCCCCCAGAUCCACUAGUGUCUGGCUCCCCUGCCACCACUCUGGCCGUCCCUCUGUGCCAUCUGACUUUGUCUCCUCUUGGAGUCCUUGGGUCCCUCCUUUUCCCUUACAGCUGUUUUAAAUGCUAUCUACGCAGUUGUGUGUGGUUAUACUUGUCUGACAUGCCAGGACUUGAAAGACGGAUGCAGGAGGAUUGUGAAUUUGAGGACAGUCCAAGAUAUGUAGCAAGACUCUGUCCCCCAAAACAUUAAACAUGAAAAUUUAAAAACCAUAAAUACCAUUUAUGUGUUUCUGACAUGAAAACUCUGUGAGAUCUGACCUCCCCGGACUCAAACUUCUGGGUUUCCUUUCUCCAUGGGCUCUCAGUGGACAGCUGACAGGACUCAUGCUUUAUCCACCUCUACUUAGGGCCUUUGCCUUGGGUGUUCCUCAACCCCCAAUGCUCUUCUCCAGUGACCCCAUGGCUGGCUCUUCCACUGCUUUGAGGACUUCAUCCUGCCUUGUCAUGUUAUCUAAAAUGAGGCCACCUUUACUACCUGUAGCCCCUCUCUGCCGUGGCUCCAUUAAUAACAUCAUGCAUGUUAUUUACAUGCAUGUUUGCCUUUGCUCUGAUACAGGCUUCAUGAUACAAUCUUGCUUUGGUUUAUUGCCUGCAUUCCUGGUGCCCUCAAUCAUGGCAGGUGAUAGGAACUUCCCACAUCUGUUGGGUGAAUGAAGAAGGCAGGGAUAAGGAACCAUAUCUUGUAUUAUUCCUAUCUGGGGAGCAAAGAUACAUGGAAGGUCAUCAAUGGAGUUGCUGGUGUGCAUGCCAGGAGGACACAAGGACUCCUAAGGCCAGGUCAAGGAAGAGUGGUUUGAUAGUGGUGUGAAGGACAUUUUGAGAUUGAGUGACUUGGGGAUGUGUCUACUUGGGUACUGGAAAUGAAGGGCAGAGAGAGGUUGGGGCCAGAGGUAGAUGUGACUGUCCACAUGGAAGUGUAAAGGAAGAGGAGGUAGGGAGAAGGAAGAGAAAUGGGGAAAUAGCAAGCCCACCAAGAACCACUUUUGUGUGCACAUGUGCAUUUAGAGAAGAGAUAUUUGUAGGCACAUUUUGAGAGUGAGAGAUUAAACAAGAGGGACACAGAAACUUAAGGACUGGCAGCGUCAAGGUUCAACUAAGAUGGCCCAGUUGGUGAAGGCAUCUGCUGUCAAACCUGCUGGUUAGAACCCACAUGGUACAAGAACAGAAACAACACCUACGAGUUGUUCUCUGACCUCCACGUCCCAUGCAGUAAGCCCCCCACCACACCUGAAAAUACUCAAAAAAACAAAACCAAAAAGAACAGGGUGUCUGGCCUAAGGUCACAGGAAUCUGGGGGUUCCUGGGCCCCCCACUCAGGUGUGACCAUUGCUCUCUUCCUGUUGCCAGCAGCAGACAUUUCUCAAUGAUGAGGCUCUCCACCUCCAAAGCUAAUAUUUGUCUCCUCUUGAUCCAGCAUCUAGUGUGUUACUUUUUAACUGGAGCCCAGGGUUCAAAGGCCUGGCUGUUGUUUAAACACUCAGUCUACAAGGGUGACAUGUCCUCCUCCUUUCCCAACCUCACUGACGAACCAGCAAGGAAUGUCCAAGCAAAGAGAAUAUGCAGAAAAGGGCAAAGGGCCGCAGAGUGACUGCAGCCCCGCAGAGGGUUCUGGAGAAGGAAGACCCCACGGGAGGGACAUUUAGAGAGCUAAAUGACAGGCACAGCAUCAGCUCAGGCUUUCUGACGCACUUGUUAAAUACAAGUUACUAUCUAAGAUUCAUUAUCGACAGAAACUCUUCUACAAAUACAACGUGGUGGUACUCCACCACGCAUCCCCCAGAGUGGAAAUUCCACUUUCCAGUCUCUAGGCCACUUGGCUCUUUGCCCUGUUGCACAAAUAGGGUGCUCACAUGAUCCGUAGGAGGCCCUGGUUUCAUGCUGGAGGCAAGGGUGACGGUAGGGAGGCCUGUACUCUUGGACAAUGUCUUUUCAAGUUAUGUAGACGUUUCUUGUUUACAAUGGAUUUCGUGGCUGAAAAAGGCCCUCUUGCCCUCAAAACCCUUUCAUACUUAGUUUUAUGGUAACCAAAUGGUGUAACUUUGUUCUUUUUAAUUUUUUUAUCUUAAGCAUCAUCUUUAGCAGUUAAAAAAAAACCUACUUCUGUGUCCAGCUAAUUGGUCACUUACAUCUUAGUAUAAAUGAGUUUAUUGGCAUUUUCCAUGGGAUGUUUGGUGGAGGAGCCGACAGCCGGUAGUAGAGUCAUAGGGGAGUGGUGGCCUCUUACCCAGACACCCUGGAUUUCCAGUUCCACUCUGCAAGUUUAUUUCCUGAUAUGGAAAUUGGUGCCAACAUGGUAAUAUCAUAUCAGGCUGAUUGGAGAUCUAUGAAAUGCAGCAGAAUCCUGAGAGAGGAAACCAGACUCCAGAGGCUUGGUGAAUGGCUGCAAGGCCACUGUUUCCAGGAGAAACUGUCUCUGUAAGGUCGUCCCCAGGCUCCGCUGCAUCUGGCUACACCUAUGGUCUUGCUUCUGGCCAGGGGCCCCGGGCAGAGGUUUGCUUUCAUCCUGCAAUCUUCCCAGACUCUGUCAUCUCGCCUUUGCUUGCGGGCUGUAGGGUACCCUGUCUCAGUGGAUUGUGGAGCUGCGGAGGGGGGGAGUGCCUGAGUUCCUGAAUGAGCAUCUGCUUAAACCUGCAAAGGAUUGUGGGAAAGUGGCCUUUGUCAAGCCACUUUGACUUGGGGAUUGCUUGCUACAGUGUUAAUCUGUCCCAGUGAACUCAUUUCUUCUUACCUGAGGAUCUUCCAUGGAGGAGGAAAAGUUAACUGUGAUCCAGAAACCUGGAGAACAAUCCACACUACGCUCUAGGAGGCCUGGGAACUCCCACUGUAAGGUCAAAUGUCAGAGCAUAAUCCACAACCUCCCACCUCUGGAAGCUGUGCUGAGAAACCAAAGGAGAGAGAAGUGAUGCUUGUUUGAAUGUGGCUCCUCGGCCAAACCUGGGAACGCCUGUUGCUCACUGCUGAUGUCAGGGGUUAUAAAACUCUGGAAAUGCCAACAUCACUCGGCUCUAACAGCGGGCUAAGGGCCUAUCAACCUAGCAACUACACAGUAGUGGUAAUCUGUUCAUCCCGUUUGUCUGUAAGAACUGACAGUGGUCCUUCCCCCUGCUUGUGUCCCCUCCUGAGCCUGGGGGAGGUGACAGUUCUGGGAGCUGGUGACAACUUGGCAGCAAGUUUCUGAAGCUACAGCAAGGGCUGACAACCCCGAGUCCUGCUUGGUGUCACAGGCCAGCAGACAUUGAGGAGUCAGGAUGGAUGAAAAAGGCAAGGCUUCCUCCACCCCCAGGAACAGGGAGACCUGGAACGGGAAACCUACACAGGUCUGGAUGCCCAGGACAUCUUUCUGAGACACGCCAUGGCUUGGCUGCCAAUGUCAUUUACUCUCCCGAAGUCUAGCGCACACUGGAAAGCAGCCGUGAACUCAGUCACCUUUCCAGGUAUGGAGUAAUAGGAUUGUGCUUUUUGUAUCAAGUUGGCAAUUCUUAGGUUUAAUAGACCUAAGACAAAGACAAAACCUAGAAUAUGGAUGAGGGCAAAUGAACUUAUUAUGCUUAUCCCGUGUGUUCAGGGAAGACUUCAUCCCUAAGGUAGGACUGCAGUCCUUCAAACCUUUGACACGAUUAAAAUGGCAGACUCUCGAAGCAGUUUUAAAUCAGACAACCCAUAAUACUUAUGUAGGAAAUGUUCCAGCUUUCAUAAUUCUUUAUUAAAUAUUUGACAAGUGGCGUCACCGCUUUACAACAUCUUUCUUCACUUUGUCACAGUUUUUCAUUUGCUGUCAGGAAAACAAGCUACAGUGUCUCUUUAGCUCUCUCAAGAAGAAAGAGAAGGACUUGAUCGUGAAACUUUGCGUGUGUACCAGAUUCAAGCUAGGUUAAAGUUCUCCGGACUGGGAAAGCGAGCAUCAGUCACUAGGCUGUCUUAGAAAAAACAUCAAGGUAGUUUGGUUUUGACCAUUGUAUCAAAUAGCACUCAGCUUUGUUAGGGGGUGGGGUUAGAAUAAAAAGUUAAGAAACAUUGAGAAUUCA
Molecule: long non-coding RNA, 4769 nt
Organism: Arvicola amphibius (Eurasian water vole)
Lineage: Eukaryota; Metazoa; Chordata; Mammalia; Rodentia; Cricetidae
Exons: 2
Source: RefSeq, a predicted model, not a curated record